Molecule: ribosomal RNA, 316 nt
Filed under: Calamus andamanicus
Lineage: Eukaryota; Viridiplantae; Streptophyta; Magnoliopsida; Arecales; Arecaceae
Also listed under: 1 other name
Description: eukaryotic LSU rRNA
Rfam family: Eukaryotic large subunit ribosomal RNA
Source: RNAcentral
CGACCCCAGGUCAGGCGGGGCCACCCGCCGAGCUUAAGCAUAUCAAUAAGCGGAGGAGGAGAAACUUACGAGGAUUCCCCUAGUAACGGCGAGCGAACCGGGACCAGCCCAGCUUGAGAAUCGGGCGGCCGCGCCGCCCGAAUUGUAGUCUGGGGAAGCGUCCUCAGCGGCGGACCGGGCCCGAGUCCCCUGGAAAGGGGCGCCCGGGAGGGUGAGAGCCCCGUCCGGCCCGGACCCUGCCGCACCACGAGGCGCUGUCGGCGAGUCGGGCUGUUUGGGAAUGCAGCCCCAAUCGGGCGGUAAAUUCCGUCCAAGA